RNAcentral lists this long non-coding RNA (356 nucleotides) under Mytilus galloprovincialis (Mediterranean mussel). The record is from RNAcentral. Lineage: Eukaryota; Metazoa; Mollusca; Bivalvia; Mytilida; Mytilidae.
CCAGAUGGAAUUGAAACUAAGGCCAAGUGUUGUCAUAGUUUGUAUCGCCGUGAUUUUGAUAGGAGGAGCAUCCGCUGAUGUCUGCACAAAGCAAUGUAUUAAAACUGCCUUUGGAUGUUCUCUUAGAUGUAAAUCCAAUACUUAUAAGUAUGAUGAUUACAGGAGAUGUGCGGUUUACUGUCGGGUGAAAUGUUUUGAGUGUGGACUAGAAUGCAGCGACUCUACCUACUCGUGCAAAGAUUACUUUAAUCUUAUUUGAAACAAGACUUUAUAUUGUUUAGAAUUAUUUCUUUGAUACAUUUGUGUAUCUGGUGUCUUGACUAUACUAGUUUUAUCAAGCUUAGCUACAUAGGUGC